This 206-nucleotide ribosomal RNA is filed under the name uncultured bacterium. Its description in RNAcentral is "partial 16S ribosomal RNA". It matches the Rfam family "Bacterial small subunit ribosomal RNA", at positions 568 to 773 of the family's 1533-position model. The record is from RNAcentral.
UGCGUAGGUGGUCGUGUUAGUCGUCUGUCAAAACCCGGAGCUCAACUCCGGAUCCGCGGGCGAAACGGCACGACUUGAGGGCGUGAGAGGUCUGUGGAACUCUAGGUGUAGGGGUGAAAUCCGUUGAUAUCUAGGGGAACACCGAAAGCGAAGGCAACAGACUGGCGCGUUCCUGACACUCAAGCACGAAAGCGCAGGUAGCAACG